UGGGGAAUUUUGGACAAUGGGCGAAAGCCUGAUCCAGCAAUGCCGCGUGUGUGAAGAAGGCCUUCGGGUUGUAAAGCACUUUUGUCCGGAAAGAAAUCCUCUGGGUUAAUACCUCGGGGGGAUGACGGUACCGGAAGAAUAAGCACCGGCUAACUACGUGCCAGCAGCCGCGGUAAUACGUAGGGUGCAAGCGUUAAUCGGAAUUACUGGGCGUAAAGCGUGCGCAGGCGGUUUUGUAAGACGGAUGUGAAAUCCCCGGGCUUAACCUGGGAACUGCAUUCGUGACUGCAAGGCUAGAGUAUGGCAGAGGGGGGUAGAAUUCCACGUGUAGCAGUGAAAUGCGUAGAGAUGUGGAGGAAUACCGAUGGCGAAGGCAGCCCCCUGGGCCAAUACUGACGCUCAUGCACGAAAGCGUGGGGAGCAAACAGGAUUCAGAUACCCUGGUAGUCCACGCCCUAAACGAUGUCAACUAGUUGUUGGGGAUUCAUUUCCUUAGUAACGUAGCUAACGCGUGAAGUUGACCGCCUGGGGAGUACGGUCGCAAGAUUAAAACUCAAAGGAAUUGACGGGGUCAUAGCUGUUUCC
RNAcentral lists this ribosomal RNA (585 nucleotides) under uncultured bacterium. RNAcentral describes it as "partial 16S ribosomal RNA". It matches the Rfam family "Bacterial small subunit ribosomal RNA", at positions 355 to 937 of the family's 1533-position model. The record is from RNAcentral.